GCCUGUCACUCUGAUGCCUCUCUCUACUCAAAUGGCAGAAACCAACCAGGUACAUCCCAGCCUUCUUGCACAUAGAAACACUACACAGCACUUCAGCUGUAUGUUUGGGGGCCAUUUUAAACAGCAAAAUCAUCAACAGGAAGCAGAAAAUUGUAAAAAUUGUGGCACUAAAUAGACCAUGUAAAGGACACAUGUUUGCAAUAAGAAAGCUGAAACAAGAAGGGGGAGUGUCACCUUAUUUGAUCCAGCUAGAAACUCAGGUGCUGGUAUUCCAGCAACACUCAGGCGGCUGCUCCAGGAGGCUGCAGAGGGGUCCUUUUUAGCCGUCAACAAAACUGGCUAUGGUCACGCCCAUUGGGAAACUCAUUGCUGCCUUCAAGGUGAUGGCCACAGUGGCAGAACCUAGGAAGCCAAGAAGAAACCAGAGAAUGGAGACACAUGGCAGCAAUGGCAAGUCAUCAGACCCAGGAUUUCCCAAAGAACACUGGUCCAGGAAGAUGCUCUGUGAAAAAGUGUUCCCUGGUCGGAGAAAUUUGUGAAACACUUUGCAUAAUACUUAAAAGAAUGUAUGGCACAUCAAAGGUAAUAUGCAAUAAAAGAAUUCAUUUUUUUAAAACCAA
This 620-nucleotide long non-coding RNA is filed under the name Homo sapiens (human). RNAcentral describes it as "long intergenic non-protein coding RNA 1905". The record is from RNAcentral. Lineage: Eukaryota; Metazoa; Chordata; Mammalia; Primates; Hominidae.